This is a long non-coding RNA of Amphiprion ocellaris (clown anemonefish), 3759 nucleotides long. The record is from Ensembl. Lineage: Eukaryota; Metazoa; Chordata; Actinopteri; Pomacentridae.
CGGAGCCAGAGAGCAGUGAUUGGUCAGACCAUAGAUAAUAUAGAAGACAGCGCCCUGGCGUAUCUAGUCUAUGUGUAUCUAUGGUCGGCACGUCUGGUAGCAUCUCUGGCUGCUGUUGAUCUUGUUUUUGGAGUAAAACACGGUGGAAGCUGAAUUAGUGAGGAUGACUCCUGCUCCUGUCAUCUCUAAGCUCCUCACACAUCUUUACCUGCACAUGAGGAAAAUCACUCCUGUAGAAUGCAGAUGUUCAGAUGGAGAUGAUGCCACAUCUGGUCCAGCUGAUGGAAGGUCUUGAAGUUCUCUGACUGGCCUCGACUGAAGAUGGUCGUCUCACUGGAUUUAAGGUUCAGAUGCUCAGUAACAAACUCCACCAAUGUGCCAACAGGGAAGCUUUAGGUUUAUUAAAUGUUGCUAUGAAGGUAUCGCUGUUUUUCUUUGUGAAUGCAAUGUGCUCCAACUGAAACUUGAAUUAGAACUUAGAAGUAAAUCCUUCCAUCUGAAAGGAUUUAGUUGCAUUAAUAACCUCAUAACAUUCUAAUUUUUAUUCCAGUCUUGGUUGGAAAUAGAAUCUCUGUAUUGAUUCAGGUAAGAACUGAACUUCACAGCAUGUUGGAGCAAAACAACCAGAUGAAAACUGUGAUGGUGUUGGAUUGUCAGACCGUAAUGUUGCAGCGCAAAGCAGCUUUUCUAGCUCAGUUCAUUCUGACAUUCAGCUAUGAAUCAACACAGCAGAUGGUGAUCCAUGCUGUGGAAGUCUCACAUCUCCUGAUUUAAUGGAGCUGCUUUGCACUUUUUACACUGUUUAUUCACCAACACUUUAUUUAAUAAAAGUCCCAUCUAGUUUUUAUGAGGAAUGUGGUGUUUUAAUUUCUCUGUGAAUAACUGCAGUCUAAUGCAACAGCUGGAGUUGUAACAUCUGUCCUGAUAUUGAUCAUGAAGUAUUGAUCAGAAUACUUAUGGUUAGCAGUCAUCCCUGAAGUUUUACAUUAAAAUCUUUACUUGUGUUGUGAACUUUGGUAAGAAACAGAAAUGUUAGCGUUGCCAUGGAUACAUGAGUGUUAAAUUCUGUCCAUGUUUCCAUUUUGGGAAAUGCAGUCCAGUUCCAGAAUGUGGAGGAAUUUAGUCUCACAAUCACAGACAACAAAUAUUAUCUGAAAGUCGGGUUAUUGUUGUUUAUCAGCACAAUACAAAGAUUGUUAGAAAUAUUCCAGUUAAGACUCUAGAAUAUCAUGAUUUAUGUAAAUUUACCUCAGUAAUAUGAAUGUUCAGGUUAAGAUUGUACAGUGAUAUUUAUUAUGCAAGUUUAGCUGAUUAAAGUUUAUGACUCUGCACUAAAAUAUUACUUAAAUUGACAUCAUUAUUAUAAUAUUUAGGGUCAGACCCUACAGUAUUGAGAUUAAGAAAUCAAAUAUUCUAUAAAAUGUAAAUACACUGAACUCAUUUGGAUAUAUUUAAGUGAGACUCUACAAUAUUAUUUGACACAAAUCUGUCUAAAUCAAAAUUUUAAUAAUUUUCACGCCAAACAUUUACUGGACUGAUUUAAAUAUUAAAAUCACUCCUUUCUAAUCCUCUGCUGUACGUUCAAACCUGAGGCCUUAAAUAGAAACACACAAGUAUCUGAUGGAAGGAACUUCUGCAGAGUCCUGGUUCCAGAACAUGAUGAUAGAAUUAUAGACAAACUUUAACAAAAGCUGCCUGAGAGUUUACAGGUUUUUAUGUUGGAUUUCUUCAGUAAUUUAAUGAGUUAUCAGCAAUAAUCAAGUGUUUAUUUGAUGAACUUCAUUUCCUAAAACAUCCAGAAUUGGAGCUCAUAUCUUUGGCAGCUGUAAAGUUUCUGCUCCUUCAAAGUUCACAACACAAUGAAUGAAUUCCUAAAACACUCUCAAUGCUGGAGAGCGUUUGUGAUGCUGAAGCAGUGAUCAGUUUUUCUGUUUCUUCUCUGGAGAUGCACAAUGAGGGACGUCUGCAGCGACUGAGAAAGAGUCUCACCACAUCCUGACAUGAGGAAAAAGACUUUAUUGAAGACUACAAUGAGAAAAACUAUCAGACAGCAGACGGCUGCAUUCAAGCUGAGCUCUGAACAUUUGAUCUGGAACAGGAAUUCAAUAACGGCAGCAUGAGCUUCAUUUCAGUCUGUAGCUGCUGAAUUCAUGGAUGAAUCAUCUGGCACUAGAGAAGAAGACCAUCAAACAUCCAUGUCAGCUGAUGGAGGUCCAAGAGUCUCACCAAAAAAACAACCUACAGAGUGAAGACCUUGAAUCUGAUUGGACGGCCUCCUAUUCAGCCACAUGCUACAGGAGGAGCCCUAUGAGGAUGAGCUGGUCCACCUGAUGGAGGCCAGUCGCUGUGGUUCAAAGCCAACACCGACUACGUGGACUUCUACUGGACCACAUGGAGACCUUCAAACCGGACCAACAAGUUCAGCGACUCCCCGACUCGUGGGUCUGAGGAUGCCGCCGAGCCUCGGUCCAGCCGGCCUCCUGUCUGUGGGUGUUUGAGUGCUGAGAGGUUUGUGGAUGCAUGUGAACGUUCUGUGUUGAAACAGCAGCUUUGGACUCAGUAACGCCGGGAAAAACCAAGAGCUCCUUUAUUUGUGACUUCCACUAAAAAACUGAUGAAAAUAAGUUUGCCAGGGUUCUGACUGAUAACAGUUUAUUAAAUAAUGAAAAUAACAGUUUAAAUAUUCCUUUAAACAAUCCUUUUAGGUUUACAUUUCCUUUACACUGACUUCUUGGAAUAUGCACAAGUAUUUUGAGUGGAAUAUACCAUUAAGCCCAAUGUUCAAGGGUUCUUCUGGGAAUAUACCAUUAAACCAACCUUUUAGGUAAAUGUUGCAGGAUGUUGAGUAGAAUAUACCAUCAGAUCAACCUUUUAGGUCUACAUUGUAAGAUUUUAGAGUAGAAUAUUACUCCAAACCAUCCUUUAGGUCUACAUUUAAGGAUUUAAGGACAUUCAAAUAUUUAAGGUGGAAUAUUCCUUUAAACCAACCUAAAUUUCAUGUUUUGAUCAUUAUCAAGUGAGAAACCUCAAUCCAGACUCCUCAUAAUCACGUUUGAGAUUUAUGCUGCUGUUAUUUGUUUAGUCCAGACUAAAUGACAGAAAUCCACAACUGUAAUUUUAUUUCAGGACUUGGUUAUUGAAUGUCAGAACAAUCCAUGUGACUCUAAAAACUCAACAGCUGUACAAACUCUAAGAUUAAAUUCUCCACAAGGAUCCAAAAUAAGUUGGACUUCUACAUGAGCGCUUUAAUUAUUCUUCAUCUACUUCCUGAAAAGUUUGGUCAAUAAAAAAGACAAAAACUAAUAUUUUCAGCUGAACUAAAGACAGACUUUGUGAUUUUUCUGCUCACAUGUUGUGUUGUUGUAAACUUACUCUUUCAAAUAAAUACCUGCCUAACCCCCUGGAAACCAGCGUUUGUCCUGUUUUUGUGUUGCUCCUCGGCGACCCUAGACAGCCGGGUCGUAAUGUUUUUAGAGCAACACACCAUACUAUGACGUUUUUACAAUGAUGGUUCUACUAUGGAACCAGUUUGACAUGUUCAGGUGUUCUUUGUGUGAAAACUCAGAGAUUUCAGGUAUCAGAAGGUGGUUUUCAACUUUCUUUGUUAACUUUCUGCUUCAACUUUAAACUAAAUUUCCUUCACUAAGCCAGCCCUCUGGACUUCCAGUAAGCUGUGUUCCUAUUGGCUGUCCAGGUGGCUGCUUGGUGUUAUCAGGAACACCUGAGCAGCUCAGUGUCUUCCUGCUUUAUUUAGCUGCA